CGAGAGAGAGCUUGCUUUCUCGAGCGAGUGGCGAACGGGUGAGUAACGCGUGAGGAACCUGCCUCAAAGAGGGGGACAACAGUUGGAAACGACUGCUAAUACCGCAUAAGCCCACAGGUCGGCAUCGACCAGGGGGAAAAGGAGCAAUCCGCUUUGAGAUGGCCUCGCGUCCGAUUAGCUAGUUGGUGAGGUAAUGGCCCACCAAGGCAACGAUCGGUAGCCGGACUGAGAGGUUGAACGGCCACAUUGGGACUGAGACACGGCCCAGACUCCUACGGGAGGCAGCAGUGGGGAAUAUUGCACAAUGGGGGAAACCCUGAUGCAGCGACGCCGCGUGGAGGAAGAAGGUCUUCGGAUUGUAAACUCCUGUUGUUGAGGAAGAUAAUGACGGUACUCAACAAGGAAGUGACGGCUAACUACGUGCCAGCAGCCGCGGUAAAACGUAGGUCACAAGCGUUGUCCGGAAUUACUGGGUGUAAAGGGAGCGCAGGCGGGAAGACAAGUUGGAAGUGAAAUCUAUGGGCUCAACCCAUAAACUGCUUUCAAAACUGUUUUUCUUGAGUAGUGCAGAGGUAGGCGGAAUUCCCGGUGUAGCGGUGGAAUGCGUAGAUAUCGGGAGGAACACCAGUGGCGAAGGCGG
RNAcentral lists this ribosomal RNA (640 nucleotides) under uncultured Lachnospiraceae bacterium. RNAcentral describes it as "bacterial SSU rRNA". It matches the Rfam family "Bacterial small subunit ribosomal RNA", at positions 69 to 724 of the family's 1533-position model. Lineage: Bacteria; Bacillati; Bacillota; Clostridia; Lachnospirales; Lachnospiraceae. The record is from RNAcentral.